RNAcentral lists this ribosomal RNA (508 nucleotides) under uncultured bacterium. RNAcentral's name for it is "partial 16S ribosomal RNA". It matches the Rfam family "Bacterial small subunit ribosomal RNA", at positions 28 to 523 of the family's 1533-position model. The record is from RNAcentral.
GAUGAACGCUGGCGGCAUGCCUUACACAUGCAAGUCGAACGGCAGCGGGGGAGAAGCUUGCUUUUCCUGCCGGCGAGUGGCGAACGGGUGAGUAAUACAUCGGAACGUGCCCUGUAGUGGGGGAUAACUAGUCGAAAGAUUAGCUAAUACCGCAUACGACCUGAGGGUGAAAGUGGGGGACCGCAAGGCCUCAUGCUAUAGGAGCGGCCGAUGUCUGAUUAGCUAGUUGGUGGGGUAAAGGCCUACCAAGGCGACGAUCAGUAGCUGGUCUGAGAGGACGAUCAGCCACACUGGGACUGAGACACGGCCCAGACUCCUACGGGAGGCAGCAGUGGGGAAUUUUGGACAAUGGGCGAAAGCCUGACCCAGCAAUGCCGCGUGUGUGAAGAAGGCCUUCGGGUUGUAAAGCACUUUUGUCCGGAAAGAAAUGGCUCUGGUUAAUACCUGGGGUCGAUGACGGUACCGGAAGAAUAAGGACCGGCUAACUACGUGCCAGCAGCCGCGGUAA